UACAUAGGUUCCAAGCGUUGUUCGGAUUCAUUGGGCUUAAAGGGUGCGUAGGCGGCUCGGCAAGUCGGGUGUGAAAUCUCGGGGCUUAACUCCGGAACUGCAUUCGAUACUGCCGUGCUUGAGGACUGGAGAGGAGACUGGAAUUUACGGUGUAGCGGUGAAAUGCGUAGAUAUCGGAAGGAAGACCAGUGGCGAAGGCGGGUCUCUGGACAGUUCCUGACGCUGAGGCACGAAGGCCAGGGGAGCAAACGGG
Molecule: ribosomal RNA, 253 nt
Filed under: uncultured bacterium
Lineage: Bacteria
Description: partial 16S ribosomal RNA
Rfam family: Bacterial small subunit ribosomal RNA
Source: RNAcentral